GGAGAGGUCGCAUAGUUGGUCUAGUGCAGCGGUCUUGAAAACCGCCAUCCGAAAGGAUCGCGAGUUCGAAUCUCGCCCUCUCCG
This 84-nucleotide transfer RNA is filed under the name Candidatus Levyibacteriota bacterium. Its description in RNAcentral is "tRNA-Ser". It matches the Rfam family "tRNA". Rfam says of the family: Transfer RNA (tRNA) molecules are approximately 80 nucleotides in length. Their secondary structure includes four short double-helical elements and three loops (D, anti-codon, and T loops). The record is from RNAcentral. Lineage: Bacteria; Candidatus Levyibacteriota.